CAUGCUAGACGAGUUUGAUCAUGGCUUAGAACGAACGCUGGCGGCAGGCCUAACACAUGCAAGUCGAACGCUGUAGCAAUACAGAGUGGCAGACGGGUGAGUAACACGUGGGAACGUACCCUUCGGUUCGGAAUAACUCAGGGAAACUUGAGCUAAUACCGGAUACGUCCGAGAGGAGAAAGAUUUAUCGCCGAAGGAUCGGCCCGCGUCUGAUUAGCUUGUUGGUGAGGUAACGGCUCACCAAGGCGACGAUCAGUAGCUGGUCUGAGAGGAUGAUCAGCCACAUUGGGACUGAGACACGGCCCAAACUCCUACGGGAGGCAGCAGUGGGGAAUAUUGGACAAUGGGCGCAAGCCUGAUCCAGCCAUGCCGCGUGAGUGAUGAAGGCCCUAGGGUUGUAAAGCUCUUUUACUCGGGAAGAAACCGGCCGGGUUAAUACCCUGGUUGAAUGACGGUACCCAAAGAAUAAGCACCGGCUAACUUCGUG
Molecule: ribosomal RNA, 487 nt
Filed under: uncultured bacterium
Lineage: Bacteria
Description: bacterial SSU rRNA
Rfam family: Bacterial small subunit ribosomal RNA
Source: RNAcentral